This 351-nucleotide transfer-messenger RNA is filed under the name Gammaproteobacteria bacterium. It matches the Rfam family "transfer-messenger RNA". Rfam says of the family: Bacterial tmRNA, also known as 10Sa RNA or SsrA, is named for its dual tRNA and mRNA-like properties. Its role is to liberate the mRNA from a stalled ribosome. RNAcentral also lists the same sequence under 1 other name. Lineage: Bacteria; Pseudomonadati; Pseudomonadota; Gammaproteobacteria. The record is from RNAcentral.
GGGGGUGAAACGGUCUCGACAUGGUAGAACAAGUGGAGAGUGCAAGCAGUCAACCGUGACACAUGACUUGAUAGUGUUACAAAAAUUUAAAUGCCGAAGAUUUAAUUAUCUCAGCUCUGGAAGACACCUAUGGUGUUGAUCUAGAUGGGGCUUCUGACCGCCUUAUUACCCAAGGUCAGACUCCUGUUCAGUUAGCAGUAUAAAAACCAACUGACACACCCUUAAACGCCUGGUGCAGGGUUUAAAUAAGCCGGGAUAAUUUGCUUGUUUAUAUUCAAACAAGAUAAGCUUGUGAAUGACUUAAAAUGGAAACUAUUGUGGACGCGGGUUCGACUCCCGCCACCUCCACCA